RNAcentral lists this ribosomal RNA (562 nucleotides) under uncultured bacterium. RNAcentral's name for it is "bacterial SSU rRNA". It matches the Rfam family "Bacterial small subunit ribosomal RNA", at positions 98 to 689 of the family's 1533-position model. The record is from RNAcentral.
GCGCAUGGGUGAGUAACACGUGACUAACCUACCCUGGAGUGGGGGAUAACUGAGGGAAACCUUAGCUAAUACCGCAUAAUACCUACGGGUCAAAGGAGCAAUUCGCUUCAGGAGGGGGUCGCGGCCGAUUAGUUAGUUGGCGGGGUAAUGGCCCACCAAGACAGUGAUCGGUAUCCGGCCUGAGAGGGCGCACGGACACACUGGAACUGAAACACGGUCCAGACUCCUACGGGAGGCAGCAGUGGGGAAUUUUGCGCAAUGGGGGAAACCCUGACGCAGCAACGCCGCGUGGAGGAUGAAGUACUUCGGUACGUAAACUCCUUUCGAUCGGGACGAUUAUGACGGUACCGGAAGAAGAAGCCCCGGUUAACUUCGUGCCAGCAGCCGCGGGUAAUACGAGGGGGGCAAGCGUUGUUCGGAAUUAUUGGGCGUAAAGGGUGCGUAGGCGGUUUGGUAAGUCUGAUGUGAAAUCUAUGGGCUCAAUCAUAGACUGCAUCGGAAACUGCCGGGGCUUGAGUAUGGGAGAGGUCGAGUGGAAUUUUCCGGUGUAGCGGUCGAACAU